RNAcentral lists this long non-coding RNA (733 nucleotides) under Ricinus communis (castor bean). RNAcentral's name for it is "long non-coding RNA (RCOM_LNC001389)". The record is from RNAcentral. Lineage: Eukaryota; Viridiplantae; Streptophyta; Magnoliopsida; Malpighiales; Euphorbiaceae.
ACAAAUAAGAUUAAAAGGCUAUUAUGGAUCUAAAAAGAAUUGACAAUGGCCAAAAUACAAAAUUCUAAAAGAAAAUAAGAAAAAGCAGCUAGUGCCUUUCUAACUAAUUAAUGUCCAAACUCUAAUACUACAAUACAUAAAGGGUCAAUUUCAAAGAUAAUCAAGAAUAACUGAGUAAUUUUGUAUGUUCAUUUUAUGAGGUUUUGAGUUUGUGUCUUUAUUAUGUUCAGUACUAAUGAGAGAUUAUCACUAAUAAGUAAGAAAUUAUACUCCUACUAGCUAGUCGAAGUUUCUACAACAUUAGGGUUUGUAUUUGGCAUUGAUGCAUUUUAGAAAGAAAAAAGAGAGAAAAUUGGUGCAAAGUGAAGAUAUUAAACUUAAGUGGGUUCAAUCUUGACACAGCAAAGCUGCACAAAACAUCUCAAACUCCCUAAGACUUAUCAGAACGGAGGCACUCUGCCUCCCAAAGCAGUUCCAUUUGACCAUACCCAUGAGAUAUACCAGCCAACCCUCCCUAACUAUUGACUUUUGACCCUCCAGAUUCAUACCCUGGAGCACGAACAAACGAUUCGGAUUGCUGAUUAGUGGGUCCCCCCUAGAUUCCUAAAAGAAAUCGACGGUCUGGAUUCUUUAUGUUUGUGACCAGAGAAUCAUUUUCAUUUUCCCAAUAGAGACUGUGGAGUAUGGAAGGGGAGGAGGAGCUUAAUCUAGCAGUCGGCAAAUGCAAAAAGAA